Molecule: ribosomal RNA, 494 nt
Filed under: uncultured bacterium
Lineage: Bacteria
Description: partial 16S ribosomal RNA
Rfam family: Bacterial small subunit ribosomal RNA
Source: RNAcentral
GACGAACGCUGGCGGCGCGCUUAACACAUGCAAGUCGAACGGAAAGGCCUGCUUUCCCUUGUGGAUUGCGGGUACUCGAGUGGCGAACGGGUGAGUAACACGUGAGUGAUCUGCCCCCAACUUGGGUAUAAGCCUGGGAAACUGGGUCUAAUUCCCGAUAGGCCUGCAGGGUGGUGCCUGUUGUGGAACACGAUUUUCUAGUGGUUGGGGAUGAGCUCGCGGCCUAUCAGCUUGUUGGUGGGGUAAUGGCCUACCAAGGCGGCGACGGGUAGCCGGCCUGAGAGGGUGGACGGGCACAUUGGGACUGAGAUACAGCCCAGAAUAAGACGGGAGGCAGCAGUGGGGAAUAGUGCACAAUGGGCGGAAGCCUGAUGCAGCGACGCCGCGUGGGGGAUGACGGCCUUCGGGUGGUAAACUCCUUUCGACCGCGAGGAAGCCACCUGGUUGGAAGGGUGGUGACGGUAGUGGUAGAAGAAGCACCGGCUAACUACGUG